Xiphophorus couchianus (Monterrey platyfish) is the source of this 3375-nucleotide long non-coding RNA. RefSeq lists it as uncharacterized. The record is from RefSeq and is a predicted model, not a curated record. The transcript has 2 exons. NCBI's taxonomy places the organism in Eukaryota, Metazoa, Chordata, Actinopteri, Cyprinodontiformes, Poeciliidae.
UAUGAAUCGUUUUUAAUAAACCCUUUUUAACUGGAUCUUUUUUUAACAUGGAGAACAAGGUCCGACUCAGGAAGGAAAAGAAAUGGGCUUUUAAUACAACUUCAAGUCUAAAUGGUCCAACGGGGGAAAAGACCAAACCUUUUUACUGACGUAGAGACGAAGCGCUCAACCGAUUCUCUGGCUCGGGAAACUAAACACAGCGGUUCUACAGAGCCAGGAAAAAACUGAUUCAUGCUUAAGCACAAAAACUGCACUGGUAGAAAAUAUGGUGGUGAAUCAUGCUCCUCCGAGGAAAAAUUGUGGCAGUUCCAGCUGGUACCUGAAUUAUUAAACAUUCAGUUACAUUAGGUAGAAUUUUGUUUGAAAGCUUUUGUGCAAAACGGUCGCGUGCUCUUAUGUUUGACUGUACAGCCAUCUGCCACGUCUCAGGAAUAUGUGGUUAACUCUGACAGCUCAUAAAAUGUUCAAUUUCUGCAGUUAGUUUGACAAAUGAUCUGAUUUGUCCAAUUCAUUUGUCAAACUAAUUAUUCAGCUGACCUUUCCAAACAAUCAUGGGUAAAAGCUUAGCAAUGUGUACCAGCUUUGGUAAAAAAUAAUAAUAAUAAUAAUAAAAUAAUGGAACUGCCUCCCUGGAGGAUGUUUAUUAAGAAUGUUGUUUUUAUAUAAUGUUAUUGUUUGACAAUAAAAAUCCUUUAUUUGAGACAAAGCUCUUUUAAUUACAAAAAGAAAAAAGCAUGAGGUCACCCACGCUCUGAUAAAAAUCAGAGCUAUAAUUCUUUAAAAACAAGACAAACGGAAACAAGGCUCAGUCUGCGCAAUAUGUACAAAUAUAUAUAUAUAUAUCUAUAUAUAGAUAUAUAUAUAUAUAUACAUAUACUUAUAUAUAGUACAUAGAUAGACAGACAGAUGACCUCUUAACCCUGUCAAGGGUGCACUAAGAGACUGACAUGACACUGUCAUAAACAUGAAUAAGUCUUUAUUAAUGUCUAUCACUGUUGUCAUGGAGUGUCAUUCGGUAAAUAAUGAGGUUUUUAAUGCAAAGUUGCUCUAAAACUGGCCUUGAAAGUCCAUUAAAAAUGCCAGCUUUGCAUUAAAGUGUCAAUAUUUACCGAAAGACACUCCAUGACAACAGUUAUAGACAUUCAUAAAGACUCUGUUAUGUUCAUUACAGGUGCUGUCAUGUUUAUGACAGAGUCAUACCAGUCUUAUGCACACCCCGUCAAAUAAAGUGUUUUUCACUGUGAAAUCAUUCCCACGAUAAUCAUAAAGCACUUACGUUCAAAGAUGGACACCUCUUGCUCCGACCAACGCAGAGGCAAUGUGGGAGUAAGUGCGUUGCUCAAGGACAGUGACAGUGCGGCUGAAAAAGCCAAUGACUGAGCAGGUACCACUCUAUCAGCUGCAGCCGCUCCUCAGACCACAUGGCUUCACCCACAGUCUCACUUCAGAUCCACUACAGGCUUAAAGACAGGUUGUUGAGCUGAAAAUGUGUCAUACGUAUGAUUUUUUUUUUUUGGUUUUGUUUUGUUUAGCAUUUUGCUACAAUGCAAAACAUCAAGCUCUAAGCGUAGAGCUUGAAUUUAUAGAUUUAGUUAACAGAGUGGAAACUUCAAAAGUUACAAUUUAGAUACGGACAUAUAUAUGAAUAUAGACCAAAAACCUUUUGACAAACUGAGUGAAUAUCAACAAUCUCAUCACAAAUAUAAUUAAUUCUUAACAUAAAGUAUCUUGUAUGGUAAACUGAAUAUGCAUCUGUGCUACCUCAUUUCAGCAUGUACAAAGAAAUGAUAGAAGCUGAUUAAUGUGAUCAUGUUUUCAUCUGUGAAUCCAGUUUCUCAACAUCACUGAAGCUGAUGAAACUGAUGGCAGAGCAGAAAAACUGUACAUUAAAGUUGUCCCAUAUUAAAAAGUUUAUUUUUUGAUUGACAUUUUAAAAAAUGUCAGUUAUCUACAGUGUUAGCCUAUCAUACAGUACCUCAUAUAAAGUCUGUCUUAUAUCCUAAGUUGUACUUGCAAAAAUGUACUUUGCACCAAGUUAAAUGUUGGGUAAGCAGUCUAAAUAUCAAAGUGGGUAAAAAAAAAAAAAAACACAUUACCCAAAUAUAGAAAUUUAGCAAUAACAUAACAAAUAACGAUACAAUUUCUUUCCUCUAUGUAAGUUUCAUACAUAAGAGUUUGGAGAACAAUAAAAAUGCACAUCACCCUGAAAACACACUCCACAGGAAAACCUGGUGUGACAGGUUGUCGGGAUAAUUUUCUUCAGCAAGAACAAGAAAGCUGAAGAGAGUUGAUUGGAAGCUGGUGGAGUUAAACACAAGGCAAUCACCUGUCGGAGGCUGCGGACGGAUUGAUUCACCUUUCAGCAGGACAAAAACCUAAAUGUACAGCCACAGUGACCUGAUUUAAAUCAAAGCAUAUUCAUGAGUUGGAAUUGCCAAAUUAAAGUCCAGUCCCAAAUCUCACAGAAAAUCUGAUGCACCACUAACUGGCCGUGAGCCGUUUCUUCAGUCGCUAGUUGUGCGCAGACAUAACAGGAAAAGGGGAUUCUACUGAGAAUUAAAUCAAGGGGCCUGAAUACAAAAGAAUGCCUGCUCUUCACGUUUUUUUGCGUUUGUAUUUAAUUUGGAAAAAUGGGCAUUCUUUUAAUCCCUGGAAGUAGGCGCCUCCUUUCUGCACCAUCCUCCCCCCUACGUGGAUAAAGCGUUUAUAGACAAUCGAUGGACGUUACCCAUCGUGGUAUCAGAAAGGAAACAUACGAGAACAGGACUUACCUGUCAGUUGCUUGACAAACGCACUGACAGUUGAAGUUGGCAUCGCUGUUGAGUAAAAACCCAGAGCUUGCUAUUGAGAUGUACUGAUGUGGUUUUUGUGCAGGACUUCAAUUUGUUUCAAAACAGAGGGAAGGUUGGACAGACAGAUGGACAACUAAAGGUUAAAUUACUCAUUUGUGCUGGUCUACCACACAAUGUGCAUUAACAUGGCAAAAUGUGGAAAUGUUCAGUUGGUUCGAAUGCUGCUUGAUUUUCAAAUCCUACUUUCACUGGAAAAGGGGGGGAAAAAAUAAAACUUUAGUUUGGGAAAUACUGAUGUCUUUCUUUUUGUUUCAGUUGUCUCAAUAUGGAAAAUCUGCUUGGAUUCCCGACAGAGGAACGAUGCUGACGUAUUCUAAUAAAAUUGAAGUAGUUCUAAACUUUUGCAACAAAUGAACCAAUAUAUAGCCGAUACAUAGGAUCACUGGUGCCAACAGCUUCAAAGGAAAGCCCAGUGCCAAUAAUGUACAAUAAAUUCCCAGAGCUAAAACCCCCUAAAGGGUAUUUCAACGACGUGCUGAGAAAAGAUUUUCUGUUCUGAUUUAAGUAUUUUACAGAUCCCUGG